CUGCUUCAGCAGCACAUUUACUAAAAUUGGAAUGAUACAGAGAAGCUUAGCAUGGCCCUGUAAAAGGAUAACACCCAAAUUUGUGAAGCAUUCCAUAUUUUU
Molecule: small nuclear RNA, 102 nt
Organism: Gracilinanus agilis (Agile Gracile Mouse Opossum)
Lineage: Eukaryota; Metazoa; Chordata; Mammalia; Didelphimorphia; Didelphidae
Source: RefSeq, a predicted model, not a curated record